UCACAUUCUUUUUAUGGGAUGGAUGACGAUAAGCCCUUACACAGGCUACAUUGGUCUCGUUUAUUAAAAGAAUACGUUGGUCAUGACUACUGUUAGAUGGGAGAUCUCGAUGGGCAUAGGCGAAGACGAGUACGAGUAACGAGCCAAGUGUCGUCCACCAGUUCCGCGAGCUCUGCUACCGCUACGUUGUCGACGUCCUCACCGAUGCCCAAGGCUACUCCGAUCACGUGGGAAAACCCGCCAUCGAUCCCGAUGACGUCAGGCUCGCGAUCCAGUCCAAGGUCAAUUUCUCCUUCUCUCAGCCGCCGCCUCGAGAGGAAAUAAUCAAAGAACUGAUGGAAAGACUACCACACAUGAAAGAGCUUAUGAAUAUGUACUGUGGCCCUGAUAGAGUGACUGCAAAGCAACAAAUGCAGGAGUUAGACAGAGUCGCAAAAACUCUACCAGAGAAUAUACCUUCAUAUGUGAAGAGGUUCACUGAUCGUGCCGUUCUUUCACUUCAAGUUUUCUUUUUUUCAACUUAGUUUAGUUUCCUGUAAAUCUUAUAAUGUGUCAUUCUCUAAAAUGGAAAACACUAAAUAUGGCAAACUGGAAUAUUUAAACAGGCCUUUUGAGUGUUGACUUGGAAAUAAAAAUGAAUGUAAUUAUUUUGCAAUGGGAGCAAAUUCUUUGUUUAUCAUAA
Molecule: long non-coding RNA, 682 nt
Organism: Asparagus officinalis (garden asparagus)
Lineage: Eukaryota; Viridiplantae; Streptophyta; Magnoliopsida; Asparagales; Asparagaceae
Exons: 2
Source: RefSeq, a predicted model, not a curated record